Molecule: ribosomal RNA, 305 nt
Filed under: uncultured bacterium
Lineage: Bacteria
Description: bacterial SSU rRNA
Rfam family: Bacterial small subunit ribosomal RNA
Source: RNAcentral
GUGCCUACGGGGGGCAGCAGUGGGGAAUAUUGCACAAUGGGGGAAACCCUGAUGCAGCGACGCCGCGUGAGUGAAGAAGUAUCUCGGUAUGUAAAGCUCUAUCAGCAGGGAAGAAAAUGACGGUACCUGACUAAGAAGCCCCGGCUAACUACGUGCCAGCAGCCGCGGUAAUACGUAGGGGGCAAGCGUUAUCCGGAUUUACUGGGUGUAAAGGGAGCGUAGACGGCGAUGCAAGUCUGAAGUGAAAGGCGGGGGCCCAACCCCCGGACUGCUUUGGAAACUGUAAAGCUGGAGUGCAGGAGAGG